GUGGGGAAUAUUGGACAAUGGGCGAAAGCCUGAUCCAGCAAUGCCGCGUGAGUGAUGAAGGCCUUAGGGUUGUAAAGCUCUUUUACCAGGGAUGAUAAUGACAGUACCUGGAGAAUAAGCUCCGGCUAACUACGUGCCAGCAGCCGCGGUAAUACGGAGGGAGCUAGCGUUGUUCGGAAUUACUGGGCGUAAAGCGCACGUAGGCGGUUACUCAAGUCAGAGGUGAAAGCCCGGGGCUCAACCUCGGAACUGCCUUUUAAACUAAGUAACUGGAAUCUUGGAGAGGUCAGUGGAAUUCCGAGUGUAUAGGUGAAAUUCGUAGAUAUUCGGAAGAACGCCAGUGGCGAAGGCGACUGACUGGACAAGUAUUGACGCUGAUGUGCGAAAGCGUGGGGAGCAAACAGGAUUAUAAACCCGGGUAGUCC
This 425-nucleotide ribosomal RNA is filed under the name uncultured bacterium. RNAcentral describes it as "partial 16S ribosomal RNA". It matches the Rfam family "Bacterial small subunit ribosomal RNA", at positions 354 to 796 of the family's 1533-position model. The record is from RNAcentral.